RNAcentral lists this ribosomal RNA (660 nucleotides) under Triticum aestivum (bread wheat). RNAcentral's name for it is "partial small subunit ribosomal RNA". Lineage: Eukaryota; Viridiplantae; Streptophyta; Magnoliopsida; Poales; Poaceae. The record is from RNAcentral.
CAUAACCAUCUGUUUGUCCCUGCUGACCUGACUCUGUACUUGUCGGCUCAUCAUAGAAUGACUGACGCACAAAAGGCCGAUGUCAUCGAGUAUGCUGUCGGUGGACUUCGAACACAUCAGAUUAUGAAUGUAAUGGAGAAGAAUGCCGGAGGUCCCGACAAGCUUGGAUUUAUAGAUCGAGAUCUAUACAACCAUGUUUCAGUCCAGAAGAAGCGCAAGAUAGAAGGCAGUGAUGCUAGAUAUUUGCUCACCUAUAUGAUUGCACAGAAAAAAGCAGACCCGGAAUUCUUUUUCAAAUACACAAAAGAUAGCGAAGGCCAUUUGAGGAACAUAUUCUGGGCUGACUCACAAUCCCGCAUUGACUAUGUUGCCUUUGGUGGUGUCGUGGUGUUCGACAGUACAUAUCGGUCUAACAAGUACAGGCUUCCGUUUAUUCCAUUUGUUGGUCUGAACCAUCACCGCAGCACAGUUUUGUUUGGGGUCGGUCUAGUGUCAGACGAGACAGUUGCAUCAUACCAGUGGCUUCUUCAUGUAUUUUUGGAGGCAAUGUCCCAGACGACACCAAUUUCAGCAAUCACUGAUGGGGACGGUGCAAUGGCUAAAGCAAUAGCUACUGUGUGGACCGGAACAGAUCAUCGUUUGUGCACGUGGCAUAUCGAG